ACGGGAGGCAGCAGUAGGGAAUUUUCGUCAAUGGGGGGAACCCUGAACGAGCAAUGCCGCGUGAGUGAAGAAGGUCUUCGGAUCGUAAAGCUCUGUUGUGAGAGAAAAAUGCCAUGCAUAGGAAAUGAUGCAUGGGUGAUGGUAUCUCGCCAGAAAGUCACGGCUAACUACGUGCCAGCAGCCGCGGUAAUACGUAGGUGGCGAGCGUUAUCCGGAAUGAUUGGGCGUAAAGGGUGCGUAGGUGGCACGGUAAGUCUGAAGUGAAAGGCGGCAGCUCAACUGUCGUAUGCUUUGGAAACUGCCGAGCUAGAGUGCAGGAGAGGGCGAUGGAACUCCAUGUGUAGCGGUAAAAUGCGUAGAUAUAUGGAAGAACACCAGUGGCGAAGGCGGUCGCCUGGCCUGUAACUGACACUGAAGCACGAAAGCGUGGGGAGCAAAUAGGAUUAGAUACCCUGGUA
This 458-nucleotide ribosomal RNA is filed under the name uncultured Erysipelotrichaceae bacterium. RNAcentral's name for it is "bacterial SSU rRNA". It matches the Rfam family "Bacterial small subunit ribosomal RNA", at positions 341 to 792 of the family's 1533-position model. Lineage: Bacteria; Bacillati; Bacillota; Erysipelotrichia; Erysipelotrichales; Erysipelotrichaceae. The record is from RNAcentral.